RNAcentral lists this transfer RNA (84 nucleotides) under Deinococcus grandis. RNAcentral describes it as "tRNA-Leu". It matches the Rfam family "tRNA". Rfam says of the family: Transfer RNA (tRNA) molecules are approximately 80 nucleotides in length. Their secondary structure includes four short double-helical elements and three loops (D, anti-codon, and T loops). The record is from RNAcentral. RNAcentral also lists the same sequence under 3 other names. Lineage: Bacteria; Thermotogati; Deinococcota; Deinococci; Deinococcales; Deinococcaceae.
GCCGGGAUGGCGGAAUGGUAGACGCAUCCGACUUAAAAUCGGCCGCCGAGAGGCGUGAGGGUUCAAGUCCCUUUCCCGGCACCA